This is a non-coding RNA of Salvelinus sp. IW2-2015, 388 nucleotides long. The record is from RefSeq and is a predicted model, not a curated record. NCBI's taxonomy places the organism in Eukaryota, Metazoa, Chordata, Actinopteri, Salmoniformes, Salmonidae.
UGCUGGACUGGAGGAUCCACACUGCAGACUGGAGAAACUCAAGUGUAUCCCUCAAUGACUGUCUGUUCUUCUGCUUACCGCUACAGUGUGGAACAUGGUGGAGUGAACACAAUGAAACCUGGACUUAGAAAAUAUGUCUGUGAUCUCACACUGGACCCAAACACAGUAAACAGAUGCCUCUCUCUGUCUGAGGAGAACAAAAAGGUGACAUGUAGGAGAGAGAAGCAGCCGUAUCCUCAUCACCCAGAGAGAUUUGAGGUCUGGAGACAGGUGCUGUGUAGAGAAGGUCUGACUGGGCGCUGUUACUGGGAGGUAGAGUGGAGUGGGAGGGCUAAUAUAGGAGUGACAUGUAAAGGAAUCGGCAGGAGAGGAAAGCUUAAUGACUGUU